AGGAUAGGUUGUCAGAACUUGGUUUGAAAAAUUAUUGCCAAGUCUGCAACUGAUUUCUGU
Molecule: non-coding RNA, 60 nt
Filed under: Blattella germanica (German cockroach)
Lineage: Eukaryota; Metazoa; Arthropoda; Insecta; Blattodea; Blattellidae
Source: RNAcentral